UGGCWRAAGUAAUGAUUGAUAGGGACAGUUGGGGGCAUUAGUAUUUAGUUGUCAGAGGUGAAAUUCUAGGAUUUACUAAAGACUGACCAAUGCGAAAGCAUUUGCCAAGGAUGUUUUCAUUAAUCAAGAACGAAAGUAGGGGGAUCGAAGACGAUCAGAUACCGUCGUAGUCUCUACCGUAAACUAUGCCGACCAGGGAUCCGGAGAGUUUGCAUGGAUGACUCCCCGGGCACCUUGUGAGUUUCAUAAGUGUUUGGGUUUGGGGGGAGUAUGGUCGCAAGGCUGAAACUAAAGGAAUGACGAAGAAACCAUUAGUC
This 317-nucleotide ribosomal RNA is filed under the name uncultured amoeba. Its description in RNAcentral is "SSU rRNA". It matches the Rfam family "Eukaryotic small subunit ribosomal RNA", at positions 865 to 1186 of the family's 1831-position model. The record is from RNAcentral.